Molecule: ribosomal RNA, 468 nt
Filed under: uncultured bacterium
Lineage: Bacteria
Description: partial 16S ribosomal RNA
Rfam family: Bacterial small subunit ribosomal RNA
Source: RNAcentral
GAUGAACGCUGGCGGCGUGCUUAACACAUGCAAGUCGAACGGUGAAGGCGGAGCUUGCUCUGCUGGAUCAGUGGCGAACGGGUGAGUAACACGUGAGCAAUCUGCCCCUGACUCUGGGAUAAGCGCUGGAAACGGCGUCUAAUACUGGAUACGAGCUGCGAAGGCAUCUUCAGCAGCUGGAAAGAAUUUCGGUCAGGGAUGAGCUCGCGGCCUAUCAGCUUGUUGGUGAGGUAAUGGCUCACCAAGGCGUCGACGGGUAGCCGGCCUGAGAGGGUGACCGGCCACACUGGGACUGAGACACGGCCCAGACUCCUACGGGAGGCAGCAGUGGGAAAUAUUGCACAAUGGGCGAAAGCCUGAUGCAGCAACGCCGCGUGAGGGACGACGGCCUUCGGGUUGUAAACCUCUUUUAGCAGGGAAGAAGCGAAAGUGACGGUACCUGCAGAAAAAGCGCCGGCUAACUACGUG